AUUGAACGCUGGCGGCAUGCCUUACACAUGCAAGUCGAACGGCAGCGCGGGAGCAAUCCUGGCGGCGAGUGGCGAACGGGUGAGUAAUACAUCGGAACGUGCCCAGUAGUGGGGGAUAGCCCGGCGAAAGCCGGAUUAAUACCGCAUACGACCUGAGGGUGAAAGCGGGAGAUCGCAAGACCUCGCGCUAUUGGAGCGGCCGAUGUCAGAUUAGCUAGUUGGUGGGGUAAAGGCCUACCAAGGCAACGAUCUGUAGUUGGUCUAAGAGGACGACCAGCCACACUGGGACUGAGACACGGCCCAGACUCCUACGGGAGGCAGCAGUGGGGAAUUUUGGACAAUGGGGGCAAGCCUGAUCCAGCAAUGCCGCGUGCAGGAGGAAGGCCUUCGGGUUGUAAACUGCUUUUGUCAGGGAAGAAAUCCUCUGGGUUAAUACCUCGGGGGGAUGACGGUACCUGAAGAAUAAGCACCGGCUAACUACGUGCCAGCAGCCGCCGUAA
This 500-nucleotide ribosomal RNA is filed under the name uncultured bacterium. RNAcentral describes it as "partial 16S ribosomal RNA". It matches the Rfam family "Bacterial small subunit ribosomal RNA", at positions 29 to 523 of the family's 1533-position model. The record is from RNAcentral.